AGCGUAGACGGCAAGGCAAGUCUGAUGUGAAAACCCGGGGGCUCAACCCCGGGACUGCAUUGGAAACUGUCAAUCUAGAGUACCGGAGAGGUAAGCGGAAUUCCUAGUGUAGCGGUGAAAAUGCGUAGAUAUUAGGAGGAACACCAGUGGCGAAGGCGGCUUACUGGACGGUAACUGACGUUGAGGCUCGAAAGCGUGGGGAGCAAACAA
RNAcentral lists this ribosomal RNA (210 nucleotides) under uncultured bacterium. Its description in RNAcentral is "partial 16S ribosomal RNA". It matches the Rfam family "Bacterial small subunit ribosomal RNA", at positions 568 to 775 of the family's 1533-position model. The record is from RNAcentral.